This 445-nucleotide ribosomal RNA is filed under the name uncultured bacterium. RNAcentral's name for it is "partial 16S ribosomal RNA". It matches the Rfam family "Bacterial small subunit ribosomal RNA", at positions 354 to 796 of the family's 1533-position model. The record is from RNAcentral.
GUAGGGAAUAUUGGGCAAUGGAGGCAACUCUGACCCAGCCAUGCCGCGUGCAGGAAGACGGUCCUCUGGAUUGUAAACUGCUUUUGAAUGGGAAGAACACUACCCUUGCGAGGGUAUUUGACGGUACUAUUAGAAUAAGCACCGGCUAACUCCGUGCCAGCAGCCGCGGUAAUACGGAGGGUGCAAGCGUUAUCCGGAUUUAUUGGGUUUAAAGGGUGCGUAGGCGGCUUGAUAAGUCUGGGGUUAAAGGCGGCAGCUUAACUGUACGCAUGCCCUAGAUACUGUUGAGCUUGAGUGACCUGGAGGUAGCUGUAAUUCCCUGUGUAGCGGUGAAAUGCAUAGAUACGGGGAGGAAUACCGAUUGCGAAGGCAUGUUACUACGGGUAAACUGACGCUGAUGCACGAAAGCGUGGGGAUCAAACAGGAUUAGAAACCCCUGUAGUCC